AACUAGCAAGUGCGUUAGGGAUUGCAGCGGCAUCCUUUUUUACUUUUUCUGUAAAAAAGAUAUAGCGGAAAGCCCGACCCUUG
This 83-nucleotide small RNA is filed under the name Algibacter luteus. Its description in RNAcentral is "Arenitalea lutea Flavo-1 RNA". It matches the Rfam family "Flavo-1 RNA". Lineage: Bacteria; Pseudomonadati; Bacteroidota; Flavobacteriia; Flavobacteriales; Flavobacteriaceae. The record is from Rfam by way of RNAcentral.